GAUGAACGCUGGCGGCGUGCCUAAUACAUGCAAGUCGAGCGAACGGACGAGAAGCUUGCUUCUCUGAGGUUAGCGGCGGACGGGUGAGUAACACGUGGUUAACCUACCUAUAAGACUGGGAUAACUUUGGGAAACCGGGGCUAAUACCGGAUAAUAUUUUGAACUUGAUUGUUCAAAAGUGAAAGACGGUCUUUCUGUCACUUAUAGAUUGAUCAGCGCUGCAUUAGCAAGUUGGUAAGGUAACGGCUUACCAAGGCAACGAUGGAUAGCCGACCUGAGAGGGUGAUAGGCAACGCUGGAAUGGAGGCACGGUCCACAACACUGCGGGAGAGACAAGUAGGAGAUCUUCAGGAGUGGGAGCAGGGCGGAAGGUGGAACGCCGGGUGAGUGCUGAAGGUAUCAGGAUCGUAAAACUCUGUAAUUCGGGAGGAACAUAUGUGUAAGUAACUGUGCACAUCUUGAAGGUAACUAAUCAGAAAGCCACGGCUAAAUACGUG
This 497-nucleotide ribosomal RNA is filed under the name uncultured bacterium. RNAcentral's name for it is "partial 16S ribosomal RNA". It matches the Rfam family "Bacterial small subunit ribosomal RNA", at positions 28 to 507 of the family's 1533-position model. The record is from RNAcentral.